Molecule: ribosomal RNA, 492 nt
Filed under: uncultured bacterium
Lineage: Bacteria
Description: partial 16S ribosomal RNA
Rfam family: Bacterial small subunit ribosomal RNA
Source: RNAcentral
AGUGAACGCUGGCGGUAGGCCUAACACAUGCAAGUCGAACGGCAGCACAGUAAGAGCUUGCUCUUACGGGUGGCGAGUGGCGGACGGGUGAGGAAUACAUCGGAAUCUACUUUUUCGUGGGGGAUAACGUAGGGAAACUUACGCUAAUACCGCAUACGACCUACGGGUGAAAGCAGGGGAUCGUCGGACCUUGCGCGAUUGGAUGAGCCGAUGUCGGAUUAGCUAGUUGGCGGGGUAAAGGCCCACCAAGGCGACGAUCCGUAGCUGGUCUGAGAGGAUGAUCGGCGACACUGGAACUGAGACACGGUCCAGACUCCUACGGGAGGCAGCAGUGGGGAAUAUUGGACAAUGGGCGCAAGCCUGAUCCAGCCAUACCGCGUGGGUGAAGAAGGCCUUCGGGUUGUAAAGCCCUUUUGUUGGGAAAGAAAAGCAGCAGGUUAAUACCCAGCUGUUCUGACGGUACCCAAACAAUAAGCACCGGCUAACUUCGUG